Molecule: RNA transcript, 2048 nt
Organism: Nycticebus coucang (slow loris)
Lineage: Eukaryota; Metazoa; Chordata; Mammalia; Primates; Lorisidae
Gene name: E3 ubiquitin-protein ligase SIAH1-like
Exons: 1
Source: RefSeq, a predicted model, not a curated record
GGGGUGUGCGGCCAACAUGGCGGAGGUCAGCUGAGUGCGGGCAGCGGCCGGCCCUCCCCGCGGCGUCCCGGAGCGCCGGCCGCACGGGGCCGUCCGUCCUGGGCCGCCGCUCGCUGCCCCGGACCCCGGCCGCAGCGGUCGGCGACGGUGCCGCGCUCUGGUCCGGCCUGCGGCUUCAUUGUGCAGGGGGAAGAAGGCAGCCUCCUCCCUUGUUUAUGUCGUUGGAGAGCAGAGCGCGUGAGCGGCUUGCCAGAAAUGAGCCGUCAGACUGCCACAGCAUUACCUACCGGUACCUCCAAGUGUCCACCAUCCCAGAGGGUGCCUGCCCUGACCGGCACAACUGCGUCCAACAAUGACUUGGCCAGUCUGUUUGAGUGCCCGGUCUGCUUUGACUAUGUGCUGCCACCCAUUCUCCAGUGCCAGAGUGGCCAUCUUGUUUGUAGCAACUGUCGCCCAAAGCUCACAUGUUGUCCAACUUGCCGGGGCCCAUUGGGAUCCAUUCGCAACUUGGCUAUGGAAAAAGUGGCCAAUUCAGUACUUUUUCCUUGUAAAUAUGCCUCUUCUGGAUGUGAAAUAACUCUGCCACACACAGAAAAAGCAGACCACGAAGAGCUCUGUGAGUUUAGGCCUUACUCCUGUCCGUGCCCGGGUGCUUCCUGUAAAUGGCAAGGCUCUCUGGAUGCCGUCAUGCCCCAUCUGAUGCACCAGACAAGUCCAUCACCACCCUGCAGGGGGAGGACAUAGUUUUCCUUGCUACAGACAUUAAUCUUCCUGGUGCUGUUGACUGGGUGAUGAUGCAGUCCUGUUUUGGCUUUCACUUCAUGUUAGUCCUGGAGAAACAGGAAAAAUACGAUGGUCACCAGCAGUUCUUCGCGAUUGUACAGCUGAUAGGAACACGCGAGCAAGCGGAAAAUUUUGCUUACCGACUUGAGCUAAAUGGGCAUAGACGGCGAUUGACUUGGGAAGCAACUCCUCGGUCCAUUCAUGAGGGAAUUGCAACAGCCAUUAUGAAUAGUGACUGCCUAGUCUUUGACACCAGCAUUGCACAGCUUUUUGCAGAAAAUGGCAAUUUAGGCAUCAAUGUAACUAUUUCCAUGUGUUGAAAUGGCAAUCAGACAUUUUCUGGCCAGUGUUUAGAACUGUUGCAUUCAAUUUCACAGGAAAUAAGGCACCCAUCUGCCUGCCAGCCUGAAACUCUUUUGGUGGGUGGAAGGUAGAUACAUGAAGGUAAAUAAAAGAAAGGCUGUUAAAUACAGGAAGCAGUUGCAUGUAGUAACACUAAUAUAUUUAAAAAUAAGUCAACAGUAAACCACUGAAAAAUAUAUAUAUAUAUACACCCAAGAUGGGCAUCUUUUGUAUUAAGAAAGGAAGCAUUGUAAAAUAAUUCUGAGUUUUGUGUUUGUUGUAGAUUGAUUGUAACGCUGAAAAUUACUGGGUUUUUGUGUGUGUGUGUGUGUUUGAGCGUGUGCGUGUGAGCGUGCUUGAGCACGUGUGUGUGAGCGUGCAUGUGUGUGAGUGAUCGAAUGUGUGUGUGAGCAAACAUGUAUGUGCGAGCGUGUGCGCGUUUUCUUCUCUUGAACUGACAAGCCAUCUUGCGUGGUCUUGGGCCACUGCUUUUCCCCUUUGUGAGUCAUUACAUAGUGCUGCUUUUUGUGUGUGUGUGUGUUUAUUUGCUAAUUUUUAUUCUAGUUUUUCAUUAAAUAAAUUUGACUUUCUUUUCUGUAAUUCAGGUUUUUCCUCGCCCUUUUUUGUACCAUUUUAAAGUUAAAGCAUCCUUUGACAUGCAUAAUUGUUUAUGGUAAAGUUCAUACUGUGUUCCGUACAUAUUUUCUGUCCCACAUUAAUCAGUUCAUUAGAAUUAUUUUAAAUUCAGUUAUUUGGUGAAGUUCCAGAAGAGAAAGGUGACAUCAGAAAAAUUAUCAAAAGCUUAUUUAAAGCAACUCUAAGAUGGUCUCCCUCUUUCUCUUUUUCUCCCUUUCUGUUUUACAGUUGAGUCAUAUCUUCAAACAAUCUUUGAAAAGUUAAGAAAUAAAUUGAUUUUUAAAUAU